Molecule: ribosomal RNA, 32 nt
Filed under: Cosmocomoidea uat
Lineage: Eukaryota; Metazoa; Arthropoda; Insecta; Hymenoptera; Mymaridae
Description: partial 18S ribosomal RNA
Source: RNAcentral
UUUCCGUAGGUGAACCUGCGGAAGGAUCGUUA